Molecule: non-coding RNA, 989 nt
Organism: Podarcis lilfordi (Lilford's wall lizard)
Lineage: Eukaryota; Metazoa; Chordata; Lepidosauria; Squamata; Lacertidae
Source: the annotation of a GenBank genome assembly
UUGCUGACAGGGAUCACAGCUUGGUUGGAAAUUGGCUAAUGUCUAGUCAUGGACCUGGCAGAUGUUGGUGGGUGGAAACCGUUGGAGUUCGCUUCCAGAAGCCAGUGGAUACCAGAAGGCUAAAAGCAGGCUGAUAUUUGUGGAUGUAAGCUGGUUGGGAUUCACCUUCAGAAGCUGCUCAACAGAAACCGGUGGAUAUUUGUGGGUUGGAGCCAGGGCAUGAAUGCAAACGAAUGGCAAGUGAAAGAUAAGUCCAUUGGCAUCUUUCACAGAUGUCAGAUGGAGUAUGCUUUUGCGUGUGAAUGAGAGGCUGUGAAUGUGCUCAAGGUGAAUAAUGUGUGCAUGUGCAUGAAUGUGAGGUGUUAAAGACAACUCGUGGAUACUCAUGAACAGAUGAAACCUGUGGAAGCUGGCAAGCUGAAUUUAGUGGGUGAAGUUGCCAGGCAGAAGACAGUGAAGCUGCCUGGAUGAUGCUAUUGGAUGGUAGCCAUCUCCUUCACUGUCUCUGUUUUUUUCCGUCCAGGGAUGUCUGAAGUCAGUGGAGUUUUUGAAAGAUCACACAUUCAAGCAGCAAAGAGGGCUGUAAGGCUGUCUGAAGUGGGUGAGGCUUUUUCAAGACCCUUCACCCCCUGUGAAAGCAAUGAAGAGAACUGUAGAAUUUAAGUACAAGUCAGCUUGUAUUUCUAAAUGUAUGCUUUUCUGAAUACACCUAUCUGUAGUAUCCAGUCUACCUUCUUCUUCGAUGGCAGGUAAAAUACCUGAGUUUAUGGUGUGACCCUCAUAUCAAUACACAUGAAAACAUUUUUAAUAACAAAAAAAAAUGUUGCUGAUGUGCCCCAUAAUUGUCAGAACAAGGUUGUGCUGAUGCCUCUUCAGCUGUUGCCAUUAGCUACAGACUGUUAUAGUGGUUUAAUUUCCUGAAAUGGGAAUGUUUGCGUAUGUUGAAUUGCUGUGUAUUUUUAGCAAGGGGUCUUUCCUUUGGCAGUGGC